Molecule: ribosomal RNA, 468 nt
Filed under: uncultured bacterium
Lineage: Bacteria
Description: partial 16S ribosomal RNA
Rfam family: Bacterial small subunit ribosomal RNA
Source: RNAcentral
GACGAACGCUGGCGGCGUGCUUAACACAUGCAAGUCGAACGGAAAGGCCCUGCUUUUGUGGGGUGCUCGAGUGGCGAACGGGUGAGUAACACGUGAGUAACCUGCCCUUGACUUUGGGAUAACUUCAGGAAACUGGGGCUAAUACCGGAUAGGAGCUCCUGCUGCAUGGUGGGGGUUGGAAAGUUUCGGCGGUUGGGGAUGGACUCGCGGCUUAUCAGCUUGUUGGUGGGGUAGUGGCUUACCAAGGCUUUGACGGGUAGCCGGCCUGAGAGGGUGACCGGCCACAUUGGGACUGAGAUACGGCCCAGACUCCUACGGGAGGCAGCAGUGGGGAAUAUUGCACAAUGGGCGGAAGCCUGAUGCAGCAACGCCGCGUGCGGGAUGACGGCCUUCGGGCUGUAAACCGCUUUCGCCUGUGACGAAGCGUGAGUGACGGUAAUGGGUAAAGAAGCACCGGCCAACUACGUG